RNAcentral lists this ribosomal RNA (134 nucleotides) under Acinetobacter haemolyticus. RNAcentral's name for it is "partial 23S ribosomal RNA". The stretch from base 1 to 116 matches the Rfam family "Bacterial large subunit ribosomal RNA", at positions 2813 to 2925 of the family's 2925-position model. The record is from RNAcentral. Lineage: Bacteria; Pseudomonadati; Pseudomonadota; Gammaproteobacteria; Moraxellales; Moraxellaceae.
CCUAGGAAUUUAUUCCUCUAAAGAGCCGUUCGAGACUAGGACGUUGAUAGGUUGGGUGUGGAAGCACGGUGACGUGUGAAGCUGACCAAUACUAAUUGCUCGUGAGGCUUGACUAUACAACACCCAAACAGUUG